AUGAAGCAUCUUGACAAUGAUGCCUCAAAAAGACUAUUCUUGAAAAGGAUCUUUGCCCAUGAAGAUGAUUGCCCAUUUGAAUUGAAAGAAGUUACCAAUGACAUAGUGAAGAAGUGUGAUGGCUUGCCACUUGCUAUAGUUAACAUGGCCAGCCUACUUGCAACUAAACCAACCACAAAGCUGGAGUGGGCGAGGGUGAGCACUGGAACAAGACCAUGA
This 219-nucleotide ribosomal RNA is filed under the name Triticum aestivum (bread wheat). Its description in RNAcentral is "partial small subunit ribosomal RNA". Lineage: Eukaryota; Viridiplantae; Streptophyta; Magnoliopsida; Poales; Poaceae. The record is from RNAcentral.